Molecule: ribosomal RNA, 986 nt
Filed under: Glaucomaria carpinea
Lineage: Eukaryota; Fungi; Ascomycota; Lecanoromycetes; Lecanorales; Lecanoraceae
Description: SSU rRNA
Rfam family: Bacterial small subunit ribosomal RNA
Source: RNAcentral
AAUAGCCUAACGGCUGAACCAGCAACUUGGAGGAAUGUAUAGCAAUAGCUAAUUGCACCAACAAAUAGUUGACGCAAUAUCGACUCUGUCGAAUAAAAUUCUAGGUAGAAUUAUGAUAAUGACAUUGUCUGCCUAUGUGUCUUGACCAAAUUACGUGCCAGCAGUCGCGGUAAUACGUAGAAGACUAGUGUUAUUCAUCUUUAAUAGGUUUAAAGGGUACCUAGACGGUAAAUCAAGCCUUCAAGGGGACUAAUUUACUAGAGUUACUUGUGAGGGGGUAUUAAAGUACUAAUGGUGUAGAGAUGAAAUUCUGUCAUACCUCUUUUCGUAAGAAAGAUUACGGCACAGGUAUAGGCGAAAGCAUCCCCUUAUGUGAUAACUGACGUUGAAGGACGAAGGCUUUGUGUCGCGAACAGGAUUAGAUACCCCAGUAGUCAAAGCAGAAAAUGAUGAAUGUCAUAGAUUAGACAUAUAAUAGUUUAUUCUAUAAAUGAAAGUGUAAGCAUUCCACCUCAAGAGUAAUUUGGCAACAUUGGAACUGAAAUCAUUAGACCGUUUCUGAAACCAGUAGUGAAGUAUGUUGUUUAAUUUGUUAGCUCUCAAAAAACCUUACCACAAUUUGAAUAUUUAUAUCAUUUUAUUUAUCUUUUUAUUUCUUCUUCAUUAUUUCAUUUUUUAUUAUUAAAAAAAGAUGAAACAAUAGAACAAUAAAUAAUAAGAUGGUAAAAAAGAUAUCUUUACAAGCGUUGCACGGCUGUCUUCAGUUAAUGUCGUGAGACUCUGGUUAGUUCCAUUAAAUUAACGUAAACCCUUACUUUAUUUUUAUAUAAAGUAGUUCCCCACUAGAUUGGAUAAGAUAACAGGGACUAAGACAAGUCAUCAUGGCCUUAAUAUUGUGGGCUAUAGACGUGCCACAUAAACCUUACAAAAGGAUGUGAAAUUGUGAAAUUGAGCUAAUCCCCCAAAUAUGGAGAUACACCAACAAU